Cryptotermes secundus is the source of this 718-nucleotide long non-coding RNA. RefSeq lists it as uncharacterized. The transcript has 3 exons. The record is from RefSeq and is a predicted model, not a curated record. NCBI's taxonomy places the organism in Eukaryota, Metazoa, Arthropoda, Insecta, Blattodea, Kalotermitidae.
AUAAAAAUAUGCCACCGGUCCGCCACGUUUAAAAGCGCUGGGCAUAAAAAUAUGCCACCAGUCCGCAAAGUGUUAACAAAUAUGUACAUGUCAUGGCUGUUAAAGUGACAUACGAGUGUUAGGGUUUGAGUUUUUGGAUGCAAUUCAAAUCCUCAUUCCCAGUCUUUUUUAAUUUCUGAAGUUGUGUGUUAUUCCAUGUUUAAAGCUUUAGAUAUUAUAUACUGUGAUAAUGACAAAGACAACGUCUACAUCCCAUGUGAAGAACACUCUUAUGCCAAAUUACACACAUGCUUUCAUGACUAAACAGACAAGUGUUCUUUUUAAUUAAAUUACUCCAAGACACCAGUGACAGGGUUAAUAAUAAAUUUUUCUACUUAAUCUGUUAUUAUAGACAACCCAUUCUGAGUGGUGUUACCGCAAACCACCAUACCAGAGAAACUAUGAAUGAUUAAAGGGUGAUUUCACAGUGAAACCACAAUUCUAGAAAUAUCUGACAUGCUCAGAAGCCACCAUGUAAUUCAGACGGCAGGUGUUACCUAGCAAUGGUCGGUCUUUCCUGGAUCACUGCUUUGCAAUGGGUCUACACUCCACAAUACUGUAAAUCUCCUGGUACUGUGGAGGUAGUGGAUGGAUUUUAACUCAGCUUCGUGUUGAUGGCUUCCUCAAUAGAAUGCAAGAGCCGAAUAUCAUGAGGUGUGACCAGAGAUAUCGCCAUGCC